Molecule: long non-coding RNA, 2501 nt
Organism: Musa acuminata AAA Group (dessert banana)
Lineage: Eukaryota; Viridiplantae; Streptophyta; Magnoliopsida; Zingiberales; Musaceae
Exons: 2
Source: RefSeq, a predicted model, not a curated record
CGACGCAGACGACGAGAACGGCGAACAAGGAUCGGGCGGAUGAGGAGGCGACCUAAGAGAAAGAUGUCUGUGCAGUAGGCGCUGAUGGUGCACGGCGUUGUUACGCUGCUGCUGGUGGUGUUGCCCUCUGCAGGCACUGGUCCAUCUUCGGAGAAGAUCCACAACUUCCUCACCUUCGGCGCCUGCGACGACUUCUUGCUGCUCUUCUCAAGUUCACGAGUAACAUAAGGGGUAAUCGAUGGAAGAACGAAUUGCAUGAUGCUUAUGUCUUACCUGACUAAAGACUUCUGUCACACAAUCAACACAAUUCACAGGUCAGUAUAAUGUUGAGAACUGUUGGAAAUUUUCUCAGUUGUUACAAGUACAACUAUUAUGCUCAUUGGUUACAGUUCAAAGAAAAGAUCAAUAAAAAUAACCCUUGGAACUUGAUUUGCUUCUGCUGGGAAACUGGAAAAUCUGUUAUUAUAUAUUAUAAUUAAUAUUUAACAAACCAUACUACAUACGGGUCCAUAGCUCAGUGGUAGAGCAAUUGACUGCAGAUCAAUAGGUCACCGGUUCGAACCUGGUUGGGCCCUUAUCUUAUUCAAUUUUUGGGUUCUCGUCAGUGUAUUUAUGUUAAGCAUAUCAGUCAGUCAUCAUUUGAUUUUUAUGAUGCUCAUGUAGGUUUUCUAUAAAUAAUUUUUCUACAAGUCAUUGUAUGAUUCGGUAAUAUGUUAUUAUAAAAGAGAAAGUGAUAUUAUUUUUCUAGGAUGUUAUAUGUGGCAAUCAUUUUGUUCUUUAUAAAUAUAUUUCAUAGGGUACAUCUGGUUGGCAAUCAUUUUGUUCUUUAUAAAUGUGGUAUGAUAUUUAUAGUGUUUGUAUAUUUUUAAUCAUAAAUCGAUCCUGUUAUUAACGGGUCCAUAGCUCAGUAGUAGAGCAAUUGACUGCAGAUCAAUAGGUCACCGGUUCGAACCUGGUUGGGCCCUUAUCUUGUUUAAUUUUUGGGUUCUCGUCAUUGUAUUUAUGUUAAGCAUAUCAGUCAGUCAUCAUUUGAUUUUUAUGAUGCUCAUGUAGGUUUUCUAUAAAUAAUUUUUCUACAAGUCGUUGUAUGAUUCAGUAAUAUGUUAUUAUAAGAGAGAAAGAGAUAUUAUUUUUCUAGGAUGUUAUAUGUGGCAAUCAAUUUGUUCUCUAUAAAUAUACUUCUCUGUAAGUCAUGGUAUUGAUGUUAAGUAUUUUAGUCAAUAAUCAAUUUUCAUUUGUUUAUUUGAUGGUCAUCAUGUUGUUAAUAUCUUGUAUUUCUAUUCAACAUGGUUGUAUUUAUAAAGAAGUUAUAUGUAGGUCUUUUUAUAAAUUUGUUAUCUAUAAAUCAUGUUAUGAUUUGGUAAUAUGUUUUAAAGACAAAAGUGAUUUUUUUUUUAAGAAAAGGUAUAUGUGGCAGUCAUUUUUGUUUAUUAUACAUCUAUUUUUCUGUAAGUCAUGGUUUGGUUUGGUAAGAUGUUAUAAGAUACAAUGAGGCAUGAUACUUGUAGUUUUUGUACGUUUCUGACCACAAAUGAACCACAACAUUAUGAUAUUAGUUUUUAAGUUCUUUUAAAAGUCAUUGACAUAGUCAAUAUUCCAGUAAAUCAUGAUAUGAUCUGUUAAGAUGUUAUUUGUGGCCCUAUUCAUUGAUUGUUAGUUAUGAUGGUCAUCAUGGUAUCAAUACUAAGGAUUUCAGCCAUCAAUGUUUGUUUUUUUAAUAUGUUAUAUGUGGUAGUCAUCUUUGUUCUCAUUAAAUAUAUAUUUUUCUGUAAAUCAUGGUAUGAUUGGGUAAGAUGUUUGAAGAGGCAAUGUGGCACUGCUUGGUUUAGAUGUUUUAUAUGGCAGCCAUCUUUGUUUUUAAUAAAUAUAUUUUUCUGUAAAUGAUGGUAUGAUUGAGUAAGAUGUUUCAAGAGGCAAUGUGGCACUGCUUGAUUACUAUGUUAUAAUGUGGUAGUCAGUUUUUUUCUUUUUCUUUUUUAUACUCCUAUUAGUCGUGGCAUCAUUUGAUAAGAUGUUAUAAGGGGGAAAAAUUAAUCAAAGGGAAAAUUUGAACUGCAAAAUAUAUGAUAGUUCAGUACCAUGACACAAAUUGGAGAUCAUGGACGAACUUGAAACUUCUUUGGAAGGAUUAUUUGGGUAAUUUAAUUGUUAUUUUAACCACUAAUGUUGCAUGGGUUCAGGAUCGGUUAACAAUUAGGCAAUAAUCAGCAAAUGGUAAGUGUCUUUUGUUCAAUUUGACAUCUUCCACUCCUUACUUUUGCAGCAAUUAUUUACAUAACCUAUCUUAUUUCUCCGUGACAAGCUGCUGAUGUUGAUUCUCAUGCGUCCGUCAGAGCAUAGCAUGGCAUUGCCUCUGCCUGUAAGUGCCUUGGUCAGCUAGUGGUCAUCCAUAUCUAGUGAAUAAGCGCAUUUAUUCUAAAUGCCAGAUAAGGACAUGACAGUGAAUGGCAGAUUUUUUGGAUUUUAAAAUCUAAUUAUUUGAAUUGAAUUGAUUGUUCGAA